RNAcentral lists this long non-coding RNA (267 nucleotides) under Gossypium barbadense (sea-island cotton). RNAcentral's name for it is "long non-coding RNA (GBAR_LNC010454)". The record is from RNAcentral. Lineage: Eukaryota; Viridiplantae; Streptophyta; Magnoliopsida; Malvales; Malvaceae.
AAUAACUAGAUUAAGAGCACUAAAAUCCAUAAAUCUAGUAAUAAACAUCCAUAAAUAUGCUAGGUAUUUGGGGUAAAAAUAUGUAUAAUUUGGCAUUUAUCGGUAAUACCUAAGGAAGAAAAUCCUUAAGUUAUGUUAUUAUCCCUAUUCAAGACUAAUAACGUCUAAUCCCUAGAUUGAAUAACCGAGACUUUUCUCUAAUUAACACUCUAGGGUUGCAUUAACUCGAUCUAUGGAUCCCCUUAUUAGGUCUCAUCCUAAUCCGGC